UACGUAGGGCGCAAGCGUUGUCCGGAAUUAUUGGGCGUAAAGAGCUCGUAGGCGGUCUGUCGCGUCUGUUGUGAAAACUCGAGGCUCAACCUCGGGCUUGCAGUGGAUACGGGCAGACUAGAGUGCGGUAGGGGAGACUGGAAUUCCUGGUGUAGCGGUGAAAUGCGCAGAUAUCAGGAGGAACACCGGUGGCGAAGGCGGGUCUCUGGGCCGAUACUGACGCUGAGGAGCGAAAGCGUGGGGAGCGAACCGG
RNAcentral lists this ribosomal RNA (253 nucleotides) under uncultured bacterium. Its description in RNAcentral is "partial 16S ribosomal RNA". It matches the Rfam family "Bacterial small subunit ribosomal RNA", at positions 524 to 776 of the family's 1533-position model. The record is from RNAcentral.